GCGGGCGUGGUGGAAUUGGUAGACACGCUGGAUUUAGGUUCCAGUGGCGAAAGCCGUGGGGGUUCAAGUCCCUUCGCCCGCACCA
Molecule: transfer RNA, 85 nt
Filed under: Pleomorphomonas diazotrophica
Lineage: Bacteria; Pseudomonadati; Pseudomonadota; Alphaproteobacteria; Hyphomicrobiales; Pleomorphomonadaceae
Also listed under: 6 other names
Description: tRNA-Leu
Rfam family: tRNA
About the family: Transfer RNA (tRNA) molecules are approximately 80 nucleotides in length. Their secondary structure includes four short double-helical elements and three loops (D, anti-codon, and T loops).
Source: RNAcentral